This is a long non-coding RNA of Athene cunicularia (burrowing owl), 392 nucleotides long. RefSeq lists it as uncharacterized. The record is from RefSeq and is a predicted model, not a curated record. NCBI's taxonomy places the organism in Eukaryota, Metazoa, Chordata, Aves, Strigiformes, Strigidae. The transcript has 3 exons.
GCCUUCCUCCCAAAGGACACCGGGGUGCUCCUCACUGAAGUCAAGACAGCAGAAAUGAAGUUCUACUACGACUUCCUGGAGACGUUUUCUGGGAAGGAGAACUUGGAACAAGAGAUUUUCAAGGUCCCCUGGCUGCUGGACAUGGUGGUGUCCCGGAUGGUACCUGUGGCCUCCCUGAGUUUCUCUGGCCAUGUCGUCAUCUUUCCCGAGUGAGGAUGUUGGCGGCUGUAGCCGCUCUCAAGGUGACAUUUGCUCCUCUUGACCCCGCGGGCGUCCUCCCUUGGGGCCACCCAUCAGUCACUCUUGAUAUCCCCGGGCCGUGGUCGCUCCCGUAAGGCAGAUUUGAUGGGUAGGACCGAGGAAUUUAGACAACACUUUCUGCCCAUGGGGGC